This 417-nucleotide ribosomal RNA is filed under the name uncultured archaeon. RNAcentral's name for it is "partial 16S ribosomal RNA". It matches the Rfam family "Archaeal small subunit ribosomal RNA", at positions 330 to 747 of the family's 1478-position model. The record is from RNAcentral.
GUGCAGCAGUCGCGCAACCUCUGCAAUACGCGCAAGCGUGACGAGGGAACCCCAAGUACUCUUGCUUUUUGCAGGAGUUUUUGCCAAGUGUAAACAGCUUGGAGAAUAAGGAGAGGGCAAGUCUGGUGUCAGCCGCCGCGGUAAUACCAGCUCUCCGAGUGGUAGGGACGAUUAUUGGGCUUAAAGCGUCCGUAGCCGGCUCAGCAAGUCUCCCGUUAAAUCCAACGAUUCAAUCGUUGGACUGCGGGAGAUACUGUUGAGCUAGGAGGCGGGAGAGGCCGACGGUAUUCCCGGAGUAGGGGUGAAAUCUUAUAAUUCCGGGAGGACCACCAGUGGCGAAGGCUGUCGGCUAGAACGCGCUCGACGGUGAGGGACGAAAGCUGGGGGAGCGAACCGGAUUAGAUACCCCGGUAGUCC